Molecule: ribosomal RNA, 253 nt
Filed under: uncultured bacterium
Lineage: Bacteria
Description: partial 16S ribosomal RNA
Rfam family: Bacterial small subunit ribosomal RNA
Source: RNAcentral
UACGGGGGGGGUAAGCGUUGUUCGGAAUUACUGGGCGUAAAGGGCUCGUAGGCGGCCAACUAAGUCGGACGUGAAAUCCCUCAGCUUAACUGGGGAACUGCGUCCGAUACUGGAUGGCUUGGAUUUGGGAGAGGGAUGCGGAAUUCCAGGUGUAGCGGUGAAAUGCGUAGAUAUCGAGAGGAACACCUGCGGCGAAGGCGGGUUGCUGGGCUGACACUGACGCUGAUGCGCGAAAGCCAGGGGAGCAAACGGG